This 379-nucleotide long non-coding RNA is filed under the name Homo sapiens (human). Its description in RNAcentral is "non-protein coding lnc-BAAT-1:1". Lineage: Eukaryota; Metazoa; Chordata; Mammalia; Primates; Hominidae. The record is from RNAcentral.
AUGAAAGAGGUUGAAGACAAUCUGCUGAGCUUGCAUGUGUGGGGGUGGGGCCCUGUGGCUUCCCCCUGCACCUCCAGGCCACUGAGGUCUGCAUCUGCCCUCUGGAGUUCAACCCUCACUUAGUGGCACAGUAUGAUACCCUAGGAGUGACCGGUGCUCCUGGAGGCAGCUGAUACAUACCUUGCACCUGACUGGGGUGCCUAAAGGGCCAGUUGAGGGAUAUGAGGAGGAUGAACAGUUUCUGAGGAAGAUGUACCAUGUGCUGCUGGAGGUGGAUGUGUUGGAGGGCACCCUGCAGUGCCCAGAGUCUAGACGUGUGUUCUGCCUCAGUCGCAGGGUUCCCAAUAUGCUGCUGAAUGAUGAGGAAACUGAGAGUUGA